CUUAGGACACCAUGUCCAUGCUGUGUCAUUCAUUCUUCACUAGUUUAUUGAUUCAGCAAAUAUGAAUCACUGGCUGCAUGCAAGACACUCUGCUAGACAUCGGAGAUCCCGCUGUGAACAAGCGUCACAACGGCCCUGCUUCCAUGGAGCUUGGGUCGCAGCAGAUGAAGAACAAAAGUAAACAACCGAGUACAGGAAGCAUUGUCACCUGAUGCCUCAACACAAACUGCCCUGGAUGGUGCCAGCUGGAGAAAGUGCACGCAAGCAGCAGUGGGCUUUGCCUGUGGCCAAGAGUCUCCUCCUCAUUGUCCUACCUCAAAUUCCCUCUCCGAUGGUGAAUUUUUACUGUCUCUAAAAAUAUUCAAAAAAGAGUGUCAACAAUCUGAGGGUCAUCCCAGAAACUCCAUGUCAUGUUCUGAACCGAAACCUCUCCAGAGAAGCAUGCCGCCACCCAAGGCAAGGGCAAGUGCUGGCAGGAUCAGCUCAACUGCGGGCAGAGCAAGAGGAGCCUAAACUCACAACCUCCUCCCAAGGACUUAACACUAUUUGUCAGUUCUCAGGACUAUGAGCCUUCCAAAAGAAAACAUUAGGCCAUUGUCACUUUCAAACACAAUAUCCCCAUAUUUUGGAGGAAAUGGGGCAAGCAGGUAAAUAUGGAGCCUUUGGGGAAAAAAAAGGAAAGAGAAGAGAAUGUAUUAACUAUGGGGUAUUAAAAUAUAGAAAUCCACAUUUUUACCCUGCUUCCUAAGAGA
Molecule: long non-coding RNA, 752 nt
Filed under: Homo sapiens (human)
Lineage: Eukaryota; Metazoa; Chordata; Mammalia; Primates; Hominidae
Description: HSALNT0395098
Source: RNAcentral